UAGGGAAUAUUGCAUAAUGGGCGAAAGCCUGAUGCAGCAACGCCGCGUGUGCGAUGAAGGCCUUCGGGUUGUAAAGCACUUUUGACCGGGAAGAGGAAGGACGGUACCGGUCGAAUAAGCCUCGGCUAACUACGUGCCAGCAGCCGCGGUAAAACGUAGGAGGCGAGCGUUAUCCGGAUUUACUGGGUGUAAAGCGCGUGCAGGCGGUAGGCUAAGUUGGGUGUGAAAGCUCCUGGCUCAACUAGGAGAGGUCGCUCAAGACUGGCCAACUGGAGAGCAGUAAGGGAAGGUGGAAUUCCGGGUGUAGUGGUGAAAUGCGUAGAUAUCCGGAGGAACACCAGUGGCGAAAGCGGCCUUCUGGACUGCAUCUGACGCUCAGACGCGAAAGCUAGGGGAGCAAACG
This 403-nucleotide ribosomal RNA is filed under the name uncultured bacterium. Its description in RNAcentral is "bacterial SSU rRNA". It matches the Rfam family "Bacterial small subunit ribosomal RNA", at positions 355 to 774 of the family's 1533-position model. The record is from RNAcentral.